UACGAAGGGUGCAAGCGUUACUCGGAAUUACUGGGCGUAAAGCGUGCGCAGGCGGUUCGCUGUGUCCGAUGUGAAAGCCCCGGGCUUAACCUGGGAAUGGCAUUGGAAACUGGCGGGCUUGAGUGCGGCAGAGGGGGGUGGAAUUCCGCGUGUAGCAGUGAAAUGCGUAGAGAUGCGGAGGAACACCGAUGGCGAAGGCAGCCCCCUGGGUCGACACUGACGCUCAGGCACGAAAGCGUGGGGAGCAAACAGG
RNAcentral lists this ribosomal RNA (253 nucleotides) under uncultured bacterium. Its description in RNAcentral is "partial 16S ribosomal RNA". It matches the Rfam family "Bacterial small subunit ribosomal RNA", at positions 524 to 776 of the family's 1533-position model. The record is from RNAcentral.